UACGGAAGGCAGCAGUGGGGAAUAUUGCACAAUGGGCGCAAGCCUGAUGCAGCCAUGCCGCGUGUAUGAAGAAGGCCUUCGGGUUGUAAAGUACUUUCAGUCGUGAGGAAGGUGUUAAGGUUAAUAACCUUAGCAAUUGACGUUAGCGACAGAAGAAGCACCGGCUAACUCCGUGCCAGCAGCCGCGGUAAUACGGAGGGUGCGAGCGUUAAUCGGAAUUACUGGGCGUAAAGGGCACGCAGGCGGUUAAUUAAGUUGGAUGUGAAAUCCCCGGGCUUAACCUGGGAAUGGCAUUCAAGACUGGUUAGCUAGAGUCUUGUAGAGGGGGUAGAAUUCCAUGUGUAGCGGUGAAAUGCGUAGAGAUGUGGAGGAAUACCGGUGGCGAAGGCGGCCCCUGGACAAAGACUGACGCUCAUGUGCGAAAGCGUGGGGAGCAAACAGGGAUUAAUAC
Molecule: ribosomal RNA, 451 nt
Filed under: uncultured bacterium
Lineage: Bacteria
Description: bacterial SSU rRNA
Rfam family: Bacterial small subunit ribosomal RNA
Source: RNAcentral